Syzygium oleosum is the source of this 453-nucleotide long non-coding RNA. RefSeq lists it as uncharacterized. The transcript is spliced from 2 exons. The record is from RefSeq and is a predicted model, not a curated record. NCBI's taxonomy places the organism in Eukaryota, Viridiplantae, Streptophyta, Magnoliopsida, Myrtales, Myrtaceae.
CGCCAUCUCAUUCUCUCCUCCUUCCUUUUCAAGAUUGUUGCGGUGGGAUAUGCCGUCCUGACGACGACUGGGUCGGUGGAUCUUGACCGGAAAAUGAGGGCUUUUCGGGUCUUACCCAUGUUCCUCUUUGCCUGCUCCUCUUAUCUUUCGCAUCUUAUUCUGCUCUCGUCAGCUUCGCAGGAAUGUGCCAGUGUCUCCAACCAAAAUGUUUUAAGCCUUUUAAGUAGCUUCUCAUUCUUGUACAGUGUACACUACUCUUUGUCGUCUUUCAUAUGGUUUCAGAUUUUGCACUGUCGUUGUUGCAUUGCUUUUCGAGAAAAUGUACAUCAUCGAUUUGCAAAAGUUCACUAGGAAGCAGUUGUUUUAGCGGUUGGGAUAUCGAUGACGAAUGUAAAGUCGGGCCAUAAAUUUCUGAUUUGAAAUGAAAAUAAGAGAGGUAGUUGAGUUGUUCAA